This 115-nucleotide small RNA is filed under the name Streptococcus salivarius. RNAcentral describes it as "Hfq binding sRNA". Lineage: Bacteria; Bacillati; Bacillota; Bacilli; Lactobacillales; Streptococcaceae. The record is from RNAcentral.
AACCACUAGCUGUGCUAGUGGUUCCGAAAAGCUUUUAGCGAUGUAUCAAAAAAGUCCCCCUAAAGUGUUAUAUUAGAUAAGGUUUCCCGACCACUAACUAAUAUACAAAAGGAGG